This 2440-nucleotide long non-coding RNA is filed under the name Anas platyrhynchos platyrhynchos (common mallard). Its description in RNAcentral is "lncRNA (ENSAPLG00000030491.1)". Lineage: Eukaryota; Metazoa; Chordata; Aves; Anseriformes; Anatidae. The record is from RNAcentral.
AUGAUACUUGUGAACAUGUCCAAGACAAGUCUCUCACUGAAGAAGUUUUGCUUGCGUAAAAAGAAACAGAGCCCUCAGAAAGCUGAACAGAGGCACCCAGAGGACCGUGAAUACUGGCAGGACUCCUCAAGAUUGAUUUGUGCAGUGUUGGAAGAUGAUAGUAGGGACUUUAAAUCCAUACUUCAGGAGGCCGGAAAAUCAUCUAUCUGGAGUGAAGAGAUGGCAACAGGUCACCAAAUGGGUGCAGCCAGCAGCAUCACUGCAGAAGGUGGAAGCCUGACCUCCAAGCACAUCAGUUUUCACAGCAGUUUCUGACUUGUGACUCUGAGAAACAAUUCAAACAUCUUGUUUAUUCAAAUGAGAGGCUGUGAAAUGACCUGACAUCUUUCCUGGAUGCGGUUUCAGGUAUUCUCAUAGAAAGUACCAUGUAAUGACACUCAAAUCUCUGACAAAAUCUACUAUGAUUGUCCUUCCAACAUCCUUGGGGAUUGGUUGAUAGCAAAGGCAAAGGAAGAAAUUACAGAUUCAGGUCUUCUUUCUUUUUUUUUUUGCCAUGUUUUUGCAAACUGGUAGAUUGCAAGAAAUCAUUUUCUCUGCACAAAAUACUCGGCUCCUAAUCCUUCCUAUUGCUCUGUGUUGCUGAAACAAGUGAGAGUCAGACAACCUCCUUCUGUACCUCUUCAGUCUGGCCCUUGCAUUUCUGUCCUGAUUUUAAUCCAAAACACUUUAGGCCCUCUAAAAAACUACUGCUGCUGCAAAGGAUUUUAUGGCCUGGCAAAAUAUCAGCAUUGGUAUCUUCUAAAACCACAUAUAAAAACUCACAGAUCCUAAAGCUCUUAAAGACUAUGGAAACAGAGUAAUUAAAAUCAAAACACUGGUGGUGAUUAAUUAUGCCUGGAUUAACAAAAUGCCAGCUUUUGAUAAUUGUCCUGGGGGUCAGGAGGAAAUGAAUCAGCAGUGCCCUGCUGGAAGUGGCUCAGGCCACCGUGGUCCUCAAAGCCCAGAGGAUGAGGCUGGGGUUGAAAAUGGUUCCCAUUUUCUCAGCUGGCAGGAGGAGGGAGCAGCAGCGGUGGCUGGCGGUGCCCCUGAUGGCUGGCAGUGGUGAACUGCGGGAUGGGCAUGGCAGGGGCACCCUGUACCUCCUGGCAGGCUGCAGUGGAGAAGCUGGGCGAGAAAGGGUUUCAAAGACUGUGUGAAGGAGAGGUAUCAGCUGGGCCAGCCAGGAGCCCGGGGAGGUCAGCAACAAAAGCAGAGCCGAGGCAGCAGUUCCUCCCACUGCACCAGGGCAGCGAGGCAGGCAGAGGGCAGCCACUUCCAGGGAAACACCAGGGCUCUGCCUCAGGGUAGGCUGCAGCAUACCCAGAACAAUGAGUUGCCCCAGACUCUGAAGUAUUUGGAUUCCUCCAAACAAGUUCUCAAAGCUUCUCUUUGGAUCUUACUUACGGAGAAAAUUGAUGGUGCAAAUGGUAAAAUACACCAAUUUUAAACCAGCAAUCCCAAAAUAUUCAGUGACCUUCACGCUUGCAUUACUGCUCGUGUAGCAUCGUACUUAUCACACUGUGGCCUGAACAUCUUGUUUCCCAUAAUAACUCAACGCAGUGAACUGUGGUCAGAGAGAAAUAUGACCCAGGACUGGCAACAAAUAUAACACACAACCCUGGCACAUAGCUCCUUUCCUACCUCAUCCUUGGCAGCAUCACUGGUCACACAUGCUGGGUCGUAAGCCCCAGGGCUAUUGAAGCUGUUCCUUCACUUCUGAGCAGGUCCUCAGCUGGUGCCAGUUCAAAAAGCUCCAUAAACAAAGCCUACUCACACAUUGAGCCCAUUCCUCUGAAUUGAACUUGGGGAUUAUUGUUAAUUAGGCUGAAUGGAUAUUACAUGUAUGUUUUUAUUAUUAUUAUUAUUUGCUUAUUUUAGAUUAUUAAAAAAAAAAAAAAGUAAAAGAAGUAAAAGUAAGAAACCCAAGAGUGCACUCAAGCUAUGUAGAACUUGGAUUGAACAAGAUAAGAGGGUGGGAUUCACUGGCAGGGACAAGAACUGAGAGCAAGGGGCCCUGGGUUGCCUUCUGGGUGCUGCAGGGUCAUAGACAAGGCUCUUCUCACUGGCAUAUGGACUUUCUGCUUCUCCCCUGGGGUGCUAUGUCUUUUAGUUCCCUUUGGGAGCAGAGCCCCUGGUGAGCUGCAUUUACACCCCACCAACUACAGUGGGGUCCAGAUGAUGGGGUGUGGGGCGGUUCCAAUGUCAUGUAAAUCAUCAGCUGAAAGAGGGGAUUUAAAAACAAUUUAUUUUGUGGCUGGUACUUCAAAAUACUUUACAAGUCAUAUCAAGAGGAUUUUUAAAAAUCUUUCUUUAUGAGUUGCUUUCUUUUCCAGAAUAGUAUCCUUGGAAAUGACCCACUGGUUAAAAACAAAACAAUAAUAAAGCCCUGUGAAGAACAGCA